RNAcentral lists this ribosomal RNA (253 nucleotides) under uncultured bacterium. RNAcentral's name for it is "partial 16S ribosomal RNA". It matches the Rfam family "Bacterial small subunit ribosomal RNA", at positions 524 to 776 of the family's 1533-position model. The record is from RNAcentral.
UACGUAGGGGGCAAGCGUUGUCCGGAAUUAUUGGGCGUAAAGAGCGUGUAGGCGGCCAGGUAGGUCUGGUGUGAAAACUCGAGGCUUAACCUCGAGAUGUCAUCGGAAACCAUCUGGCUAGAGUCCGGAAGAGGAGAGUGGAAUUCCUGGUGUAGCGGUGAAAUGCGCAGAUAUCAGGAAGAACACCAAUGGCGAAAGCAGCUCUCUGGGACGGUACUGACGCUGAGACGCGAAAGCGUGGGGAGCGAACAGG